AUUCCACAGCUAAUGUUCCUGACUCAAUACUCCGUAGCUAAUGCUCCUGACGAGUUAAUCCACAGUUAAUACUCCUGGCCAAUUACUCCCCAGUUAAUGCCCCCGCCCAAUUACCCCACAGUGAAUACUCCCGGUGAAAGAUUUCCUGUGCUCACUCAGACCCCAAUACUGAAUGUCAGAGUGGGUCAAACCGCCCAGUUACACUGCUCUAUGCAGGAUAUCGAUUUGGGAGUGAGUGAUGUGCACUGGUACCGACGCAGUCCGACGGGUUAUCAAUGGAUUGUGACACACCAUGUGGAUGGAGCUGUGUUAGUGAAUAAAGAUUUUCAGGGUCGUUUUAAUUCGAUCAGAAAUAACACCGGUCUUGUUGUCACACUAACAAUCACAAACAGUCAGCCUGAAGAUGCGACUGUGUAUUACUGUACAGUGUGGUCCAAUGUGUACGGGACUGGGACCCAGCUGAAUAUCAUCAGUAAGUACGUUUUAUCGCUUAGUGUGUGCGGGUGUCUGUGUGUCAUCGGCAGUCAUGGUUUUUACCCAAUGGGGAGAUGGGUCUCAGUGCAGCACAUUGGCUUUGAGAAGACCAUUGGGGAGCUGUGUCCUAGUGCAGCACGUUGGUAUUGA
Chiloscyllium plagiosum (whitespotted bambooshark) is the source of this 624-nucleotide non-coding RNA. The record is from the annotation of a RefSeq genome assembly. NCBI's taxonomy places the organism in Eukaryota, Metazoa, Chordata, Chondrichthyes, Orectolobiformes, Hemiscylliidae.